Pocillopora verrucosa is the source of this 848-nucleotide non-coding RNA. Lineage: Eukaryota; Metazoa; Cnidaria; Anthozoa; Scleractinia; Pocilloporidae. The record is from RefSeq and is a predicted model, not a curated record.
GUGGUGCACUGCGUGUUUUGGCGAGGAUUUAACACCCAACAUUCAAGUCGCAAUGAGAUGGUGCAGUGUCUUACUUGCUUUACGUAGUACCACUGCGUUUGUUUGGGCAUACCUUUCGAAGAGGCCAAGGAUUCCACCAUAGUGGAUUAUGGCUGCACGUUGCCCCACCCAUAUCGGAGCCACGACAUAUCGGUGUACUCAAACUAAGGUAGCAUUCUACGGUUUCUAACGAAGGCGUAUUUGAAGACAUUAACAACAGAACUCCUAAUUAACAAAAGUACACCUUCAUUAAGGCUACCACUGAACACCGAACAUCGUCUUUUAUCGCACCGAGACUUGAUGAGGUUGGCAGCAACUGUACCCUUGGAGGACACGCGGUUGAUACUACGGCCGAGCGCAUGACAGCAGUUACAAUGCCUAUCAUUGCUUCACUUACGAAAGACCUACAGACCCGGCUCUUUAUGGAUGUGAUGCUCCCAGAAUAAUUGCAUUUGAAAUUGUUUCUAGAACGGCACGGCUUAUGACCAUAAUCAAGUUCAUCAUGGAAAAAGAGGAUCUCAGUUAUUUUAGAGCUUCAAUUUUCUGUCAAAGUAGUCGUGUUUCGGUAGCAACUUCAUAGAUAGUUUUAGGCUCACUUUGCCAAACAUAAUUGUCGGUUUUAUUACAUCAUCAUGACACACCACAUAUCAAACUGGCGAAAGUUUUGAUCUAGGUGCUUCAGGAAAUUGAAUCCAGUCCGCUCUUAACUUCGCGUAUUUUAUCGUGUACUUUCUUAUGUUUGAUACAAAUAGUGCGGUGGUUUGGUUAUUUAAAACCCUCAAUAACAGGAAUAAAUUUAAAGAAAACAA